This 346-nucleotide unclassified non-coding RNA is filed under the name Hevea brasiliensis (rubber tree). The record is from RNAcentral. Lineage: Eukaryota; Viridiplantae; Streptophyta; Magnoliopsida; Malpighiales; Euphorbiaceae.
GGCUCUUUUUGAGCAAUAUGGAGACAUUCGAACACUUUAUACAGCCUGCAAACAUCGUGGUUUUGUUAUGAUCUCUUACUAUGACAUUAGGACAGCUCGAAAUGCAAUGAGAUCUCUUCAGAAUAAGCCACUGAGGCGUAGGAAACUUGACAUACAUUAUUCAAUUCCAAAGGUGCAUGGCUUUUGUAGUUAUUUUUCUCUUAUGAACAUCGUUAUUUUUGUUUUCCUUGUCAUUUCUGUGGUUGCUUUUGUUUGUUUAAUUGGAGUCUUGCUUUCGCAUGUUUCUAUUUACACUUGGUGUUUUUUUGGUAUUUCUGGAUAUCAGGACAAUCCAUCUGAGAAAGAU